UACGUAGGGUGCAGGCGUUAAUCGGAAUUACUGGGCGUAAAGCGUGCGCAGGCGGCCUCUUAAGACAGGUGUGAAAUCCCCGGGCUUAACCUGGGAACUGCGCUUGUAACUGAGAGGCUAGAGUGUGGCAGAGGGGGGUGGAAUUCCACGUGUAGCAGUGAAAUGCGUAGAGAUGUGGAGGAACACCGAUGGCGAAGGCAGCCCCCUGGGCUAACACUGACGCUCAUGCACGAAAGCGUGGGGAGCAAACAGG
RNAcentral lists this ribosomal RNA (253 nucleotides) under uncultured bacterium. Its description in RNAcentral is "partial 16S ribosomal RNA". It matches the Rfam family "Bacterial small subunit ribosomal RNA", at positions 524 to 776 of the family's 1533-position model. The record is from RNAcentral.